Molecule: ribosomal RNA, 253 nt
Filed under: uncultured bacterium
Lineage: Bacteria
Description: partial 16S ribosomal RNA
Rfam family: Bacterial small subunit ribosomal RNA
Source: RNAcentral
UACGUAGGGGGCAAGCGUUGUCCGGAAUUAUUGGGCGUAAAGAGCGCGUAGGCGGUCCGAUAAGUCGGCUGUGAAAGUCAGGGGCUCAACCCUUGAAAGCCGGCCGAUACUGUCGGACUAGAGUCCGGAAGAGGCAAGUGGAAUUCCUGGUGUAGCGGUGAAAUGCGCAGAUAUUAGGAAGAACACCGGUGGCGAAGGCGGCCCACUGGUCCGGUACUGACGCUGAGGUGCGAAAGCGUGGGGAGCAAACAGG